GGAAUGACCUGGGAUUCAGGAGGUUGAAGUACGAGGGCAGACUGAAAAUGUCAGGGUGUGGGGGCUGGAGGACAGGACAGAUUACAGGUAACGAUAAAGAAACAAGAUUGACCGAUUUCUGGAGAACAACAUUCUCGAUGUCCGCAGGGAACAGGGAGAACCCAGAGGGUUCGAUGGCGUGGUCCAGUGUCUCCUCCGUCAACCAGGGAUCCACAAAGCACAAAACGUUACUUUAUUUUGUUUCCCGCAGAUCCAAUGAGGUACCGAGUUUCCAGGCUGGUGCUCUGCCGCGUCCCACACACACACACUCGUAUCCUCCCGCAACUGCCGGUCGGUGGGACAAUCCGCCCGGGAAUAAACAUAGAAACCUCCGGCACAAAACAGGAGGUUGCUGUGCCGAACAUGUCCUCACCUUGGAAACACCUGGGAGAUGAGGCGGUGAAUGUGAGGAGCUGGAGCCUGGAGCGGAGACACUGUGGCCGCCUCUGCCGUGUGCUCAGGACGCGGCUUUAUUAAUGAACUGAAGCCCCGAGGUGACCGGAUAUUUCACCGGCUCAUCACCUGAUAACGUCUGACCGGCGCAAUGCCCACGAUCCCUCUCUUCUACCGACUCCUCAGGACCCGACUGCUCACCGUGUCUUCAUGCACCCGAAAUCAAUGCACACCGCAAAUCCAGUCCUUUGAAUAUGAAACAAUGUUUGAUGAGUUUCCAGCAGUAAAUCUGACCUACUGCGAGAAUGACCUGUUUUAAGACUCUUGAAAACCGAAAGGGAAUCUGAACAAAUUACAACUUUGCAUGGAAAAAAUUCCUCACCCACUGUAAGCACAAAUUGAUGACAAGCGAUUCUGUUGUAAAUCCUGAUAAAUAGCUUGUAGAUCGUUUCUUUAUCGUUACCAAUAAUUCACGCAUAAGACAGCAACAUCAACAAUCCCAGUGAAAUUAUAUUUUGAUCCUCUGGAAAAUGGUUAAACUUUGGCAAUAAUUUCCUUAAUGUACACUGAACCAACAAAUUCUCAGACUUCAUUAAAUCGUGUAUUCUAUAAUCAAAUAAAGGCAUUGACAGAAACAAGGUGGGGUUACCAAGAACACGACAGUGGGAUGUUUUGCAUAACCCAACAAGCACAUAUUUCAAGCAUGGUAAGAACCCAGGCAACGAAAACUAAAAACAAACUAACCUGUCAAGCCAAACGACAAAAUAAUCCUGCACAGGAAUAAAAAUUAAAAUGUGCAUGUUUCCUGAACAGAUAUAAUCGGAAGAAUCUGACAAAUCAGAAAUAAACUGCUUAAAGUGUUGACCAUGUAAAAUUAGGCUUCUUGCAUUUCACUUCAAUAUUUCAAUCCCAUUACAUAUCUUCACAAGUAGACUGGGAUGCAGAAACCCCCACAAAUCAGAGCAUCAUUUACAGCUUCCCACAAAGCACCAGUUACACCAAGAUACCUUUCUGCAGCUUUCACAACAAUUUUAAUUUCCUCAGUAGGGUGAGAUGCCUUAGCAGUACAAUUCACCACAUUAGUCAUAAACAUCACAAACUUCAUUUUAUCAAGCAGUGAGGUGUCUUUCAUGAGAGAAUUGUGAUGACGACAUAUAUCCACUGACGUCACAGUCUGUUCUCUGAGUGGGAUCACUUUAUCCAGUUUACCUGCUCUGCUUGCUGUACUUGUCCUUGAACAGGCCCUUCUGCUCACUGUGUUGUUCUGAACCAAUUGACCUGGUCACUUAAUGCCUUACUAAACCAAUCCAUUCUGCCUAAACAAGGAACACAUCCCUCCAUUCUCCUCACAUUCACGUGGUAUCUAAUAGCCUCUUUCACAUCUGUCUCCACCACCCCUGACAUUCACUCCAGACACCCACCACGUUGGGAAUGAAAAAUGAAACUUGAAACACAAAUCUCCUUCAAACAUCCUGAGUCAGGUUUUUAAAAUCAUUGUCUUUUCUAAUUGUGUUCUUUUUUUCAACAGCAGCUAUGCAGAGAAAAGAUACAAAAUGCACUAAAUCACAAAAUACUUCAAUAGUGCAAAAAGGUCCAAUGAGGAUGUGUUCCCCCUUUCUCCUGAAGUGCAUGCCCUCUGGCAUUGGACAUUUCCUCCUUAGAGAAAAAAUCCCGGCUCUCCACUGUCUGUGUCUCUCACAUUCCUGUAAACGUCUGUCAGAUCUCCCUCAGCCUCUGCCACUCCGGAGAAAAUUCCCCGAGAUUGUCCGGUGUCUCUUUAUUCAGGCAGCAUCCUGUUAAGCCUCUUCCACUCACCAUCCAAAACCUCCGCAUUAUUCCUCUCUUCGAAUGCAAUUCUCCAGAUGGAAUUAAACUAGAGAUUUAUACAACUGCAACAUAACUGCCUGACAAUGGAACCACUAUCUGGGAGUUAUGAACUCGGAUUCCAAGAUCCCCCAGUAGAUCAACACAGUCCAAUCUCAUUGAAACCUACCGAAUGUUGAAAGGACUGGGUAAGGUGGAUGUGGAGAAUGUAUUUCCUGUGGUGGGGCACAGCCACAAAGUUGAGGAGCCACCUUUUCAAACAGAGGCACGACAAAGUACAGAAAACGUAAUGCAUUACAUUUUCCUCCAUUUUGCUUUGAUACCUUACCCCGAAACAACACCACAACGUCAUCAGUGGGGCCUUCUGGGAGUUGCAGUCAAUGUCCUCGCUCGCUCCCUGUC
This is a long non-coding RNA of Hypanus sabinus (Atlantic stingray), 2658 nucleotides long. RefSeq lists it as uncharacterized. The transcript is spliced from 5 exons. The record is from RefSeq and is a predicted model, not a curated record. Lineage: Eukaryota; Metazoa; Chordata; Chondrichthyes; Myliobatiformes; Dasyatidae.